This 465-nucleotide ribosomal RNA is filed under the name uncultured bacterium. RNAcentral's name for it is "partial 16S ribosomal RNA". It matches the Rfam family "Bacterial small subunit ribosomal RNA", at positions 338 to 795 of the family's 1533-position model. The record is from RNAcentral.
CCUACGGGGCGCUGCAGUAGGGAAUUUUCCACAAUGGGCGAAAGCCUGAUGGAGCAACGCCGCGUGGGUGAAGAAGGUCUUCGGAUCGUAAAACCCUGUUGUUAGAGAAGAAAGUGCGCGAGAGUAACUGUUCACGUUUCGACGGUAUCUAACCAGAAAGCCACGGCUAACUACGUGCCAGCAGCCGCGGUAAUACGUAGGUGGCAAGCGUUAUCCGGAUUUAUUGGGCGUAAAGGGAACGCAGGCGGUCUUUUAAGUCUGAUGUGAAAGCCUUCGGCUUAACCGGAGUAGUGCAUUGGAAACUGGGAGACUGGAGUGCAGAAGAGGAGAGUGGAACUCCAUGUGUAGCGGUGAAAUGCGUAGAUAUAUGGAAGAACACCAGUGGCGAAAGCGGCUCUCUGGUCUGUAACUGACGCUGAGGUUCGAAAGCGUGGGUAGCAAACAGGAUUAGAUACCCCGGUAGUC